UGUUCAUUGCAGAUGAUCGCUUCGCCCCGCAUUUGCGGGGCGGGGAGGAAAGUCCGAACUCCUGCCCCGCAGUUGCGGGGCAAUGGGUAGUGGGUAACGCCCACCUCCCGAUCCGCGAGGCAUCGGGACGGGACAGCGCCACAGAGACAAUACUAGUCCGCCUUUGGCGGAUGAAAGGUGAAAAGUGAACGGGUGUUUUUGAUCUCGAGUCAAAAACUACUGUUCUCGAACCAUGGUGACAUGGUUUCGUGGCAAACCCUGCCCGGAGAAAGUACAGUGUUUCCCGACAUUCGGGAUUCAAAAAGUUAGUACGUUCGAUCUCGACGGUAACGUCGGGACAAGAGAAAUGAUCAUCACCGCAGAUUUUUCUAUCUGUGAAAUCAGUGUCAAAAAAUCUGUGGACAAAAUUCGGCUUACGCAAUGGACAAGAC
This 431-nucleotide RNase P RNA is filed under the name Candidatus Magasanikbacteria bacterium RIFCSPHIGHO2_02_FULL_51_14. RNAcentral's name for it is "RNase P RNA component class A". It matches the Rfam family "Bacterial RNase P class A". From Rfam's summary of the family: Ribonuclease P (RNase P) is a ubiquitous endoribonuclease, found in archaea, bacteria and eukarya as well as chloroplasts and mitochondria. Its best characterised activity is the generation of mature 5'-ends of tRNAs by cleaving the 5'-leader elements of precursor-tRNAs. Cellular RNase Ps are ribonucleoproteins. Lineage: Bacteria; Candidatus Magasanikiibacteriota. The record is from RNAcentral.